Molecule: long non-coding RNA, 183 nt
Organism: Trachymyrmex septentrionalis
Lineage: Eukaryota; Metazoa; Arthropoda; Insecta; Hymenoptera; Formicidae
Exons: 3
Source: RefSeq, a predicted model, not a curated record
AGUAGAUAUAGCCACCAGUACCUUUAACAAAUGAUCGAUUCUUAUGAAGAUGCACUGCAGCGAUUGGACCGUUUAAAAAAUGCAAAUUAUGCUUUUACAACGGAUUGUGAUAGUGAUUGAGCAGAAAAAAAUUGAUAAACUUAUUGUGCAAAUUAACUAAAUUAUAUUGUGCCAAAAACUAAA